Long non-coding RNA from Homo sapiens (human), 1212 nucleotides. NCBI's taxonomy places the organism in Eukaryota, Metazoa, Chordata, Mammalia, Primates, Hominidae. The record is from Ensembl.
GAGAGAGGAGGGAAAGGGGAAGCGUUCGUGCCUCUCUGCCCCCUGUCCCCCUCUUGCUGCAUAGUAGCCACAUCCAUGUCUCUUGUACCCUGCAAUCUGGAGGCCACUGCCAGAAGCUGGAAAUCUCAAGUAGAGCAGCAAAAGGAGCCUCUGGGGCUGGCACAGCCCUCACUGCCUACAACCUGGGCCUGGUGGUUCUCCUAGGGUGCCUCUGGGAGGUCAUGGUCACCCCGCUGCUGGCUAACUGCAGCUACUUCUGCCAGCCAGUGGACUACAGAUGGAGAAAGCAUGGAAUGAGGGCAUCUUCCUGGAGACAGGAAGGUAGGCACUGUGGAAUCAGCGGUGCGUAGAACAGUGAGGAUUUGGGGCUGAACCCAGCCCAGGUGGGCCAAGCCGUGGCACCAGCCGGACUGCAGUCUGAUGGAACUUCCCCUUCCUGCCCAGCAGAUGGCGAGCGUGUGCUGCUGGUGCCUCUUUCCAAAGGACGUUGAAUUGCUUGACAGCCCUGCCCAGCAUCUAGAAGACCACCUGAAGCUUUCACACUUUGAGACCUUAGAUCCUGCGAGGGUUUGAAUUUCAAAAGCUUCAAUUAAAGCACACAGUGUUCUUUACUUUAUGAAUGAAGCCAGAGCAGCCCACCUUCCUGCAUCUCUACCACCAUGGCACCAUGCCCUGUGAUGGGUGGGCUGGAGUCAAAUAUGUAGCAGGCAGCCAGGGUCAGUUUGUGGCCACUGCUGCCCCCUCUUCCUACAGUCUCCUCACUGAGUGCCCCUUCCCUGUUGGGUUCAACACAUCUGUGCUCCUGUAAGCCCUCAGCCUCCUCGUUCUCUUCCUCAACUUCUACCACCAGACACAUCUGAGAAGCAAGCAAGAGAGGCUGAACUAGGAGCAGGACCCAGGGACUGAAACCAGCACAGCAUCCCCACAGAGAAUUGGGUGGAAGGCAGCAUGGCUUCCAGCUUACUGGUGCUGAGCAGAUUGCUCUGGGUCUCCAUUGUAUCCUCUGAAGGAAGGAGGAGGAUUGCCUUCUGUCCAGAUCUCAGGAUCAAACAAAUAGGUCCAAUUUCCUGUGCUCACUUCAGUUAGAGCACUUCUCAUGUGACUUUGUAGCUUUGUGUGCAUCUCCUUCCUCUACUAGACCUAAGCCCCUCACGGGAGGGACUCUCUUAUUCUUGAUGUUCCCCACACCUGGAAUUUCAAUAAACAUCUCAA